GCUAGUUUAGGGUAAAUUUAAGAAACUAUUGUUCAGUUACAAUUUUGUGCUCAAUAAAGGAAAAUACAAUUUCUUUAAAAUUUACUGGCGCCCGAUCAGGGACUCGUGUAAAGGACAUAAUCUCAUUAAGUUAGGUUUGUGGAUUAAUUUCCCGUCACUAGCCCUCGUACUACUAGAGAGAAUCCUUCAACUGAAACUGAGGAACGAACCUCAUCGUGGGAAUAUAGAUGGAUUGUUAGAUAGUCGGAUGUACGCAAUAGGAGUAACAUAAUUUUCACUGAGGGAAAUGUGCUGCUGCAGCAACUUAAACUACAUAUGCUGCUUUGUAGCCCACAUCAAGGCAACGAAGCGAUGAAGGGGUAUGCUGGUCAAAGGCGCAGAUAAGAUUGAAAUCAUCAGCAUGAAAUUAUCUAUAUGUACAUAUACAUGUAUAAAUGUGAU
Long non-coding RNA from Bactrocera oleae (olive fruit fly), 441 nucleotides. RefSeq lists it as uncharacterized. The record is from RefSeq and is a predicted model, not a curated record. Lineage: Eukaryota; Metazoa; Arthropoda; Insecta; Diptera; Tephritidae.